RNAcentral lists this ribosomal RNA (468 nucleotides) under uncultured bacterium. RNAcentral describes it as "partial 16S ribosomal RNA". It matches the Rfam family "Bacterial small subunit ribosomal RNA", at positions 28 to 507 of the family's 1533-position model. The record is from RNAcentral.
GACGAACGCUGGCGGCGUGCUUAACACAUGCAAGUCGAACGGAAAGGCCCUGCUUUUGUGGGGUGCUCGAGUGGCGAACGGGUGAGUAACACGUGGGUAACCUGCCCUUGACUUUGGGAUAACUUCAGGAAACUGGGUCUCAUACCGGCUAGGAGCUCCUGCUUCAUGGUGGGGGUUGGAAAGUUUCGGCGGUUGGGGGUGGACUCGCGGCUUAUCAGAUUGUUGGUGGGGUAGUGGCUUACCAAGGCUUUGACGGGUAGCCGGCCUGAGAGGGGGACCGGCUACACUGGGCCGGAGAUACGGCACAGACUCCUAUGGGAGGCAGCGGUGGGGAAUAGUGCAUAAUGGGCGGAAGCCUGAUGCAGCAAAGCCGCGUGCGGGAUGACGGCAUUCGGGUUGUAAACCGCUUUCGCCUGUGACGAAGCGUGAGUGACGGUAACGGGUAAAGAAGCACCGGCUAACUACGUG